This 451-nucleotide ribosomal RNA is filed under the name uncultured bacterium. RNAcentral's name for it is "bacterial SSU rRNA". It matches the Rfam family "Bacterial small subunit ribosomal RNA", at positions 354 to 796 of the family's 1533-position model. The record is from RNAcentral.
GUGGGGAAUCUUGCGCAAUGGGCGAAAGCCUGACGCAGCGACGCCGCGUGGGUGAUGAAGGCCCUCGGGUUGUAAAGCCCUGUGGGGAGGAACGAACCGUUCGGGGGUGAAUAUCCUCCGGGCUUGACGGUACCUCCUUAGCAAGCAUCGGCUAACUCUGUGCCAGCAGCCGCGGUAAGACAGAGGAUGCGAACGUUGCUCGGAAUUACUGGGCGUAAAGCGCGCGCAGGUUGCCUUGUAAGUCGUGUGUGAAAUCCCUCUGCUCAACGGAGGAAGUGCACGGGAUACUGCAAGGCUGGAGUACAGAAGAGGACAGCGGAAUUCCCGGUGUAGAGGUGAAAUUCGUAGAUAUCGGGAGGAACACCAGUGGCGAAGGCGGCUGUCUGGGCUGAUACUGACACUGAGGCGCGAAAGCGUGGGAAGCAAACAGGAUUAGAAACCCCUGUAGUCC